UACCAGCACCCCGAGUGGUCGGGACGUUUAUUGGGCCUAAAGCAUCCGUAGCCGGUUCUACAAGUCUUCCGUUAAAUCCACCUGCUUAACAGAUGGGCUGCGGAAGAUACUAUAGAGCUAGGAGGCGGGAGAGGCAAGCGGUACUCGAUGGGUAGGGGUAAAAUCCGUUGAUCCGUUGAAGACCACCAGUGGCGAAGGCGGCUUGCCAGAACGCGCUCGACGGUGAGGGAUGAAAGCUGGGGGAGCAAACCGG
Molecule: ribosomal RNA, 253 nt
Filed under: uncultured bacterium
Lineage: Bacteria
Description: partial 16S ribosomal RNA
Rfam family: Archaeal small subunit ribosomal RNA
Source: RNAcentral